This is a long non-coding RNA of Micropterus dolomieu (smallmouth bass), 289 nucleotides long. RefSeq lists it as uncharacterized. Lineage: Eukaryota; Metazoa; Chordata; Actinopteri; Centrarchiformes; Centrarchidae. The transcript is spliced from 3 exons. The record is from RefSeq and is a predicted model, not a curated record.
UUUAGUGGUAAUGGACCAAAGCAGAGACACAGGUGAUGCAUGGCGGGGGUUUUUCGGGGGUGCUAAUAAAGAACAGUACGAACAGCUCCUGGUCAUAUCUUAAAUAAAGACAACCCAAAUGAAGCAAAGAUCUCCUGUGCAUCUGCCUGCUUCUCCACAUCCUUUACCAACCACCACAGAAAAAUACUAUCAGACCACACCAUCUCAAGCCUGCCUGCCUCUUGCUCUCGUCAGCGCCACCAGCCACCACUUCCUUCAGCAUGCUUGUUAAUAAACACUGUUAACUUUU